This is a non-coding RNA of Chiloscyllium plagiosum (whitespotted bambooshark), 3739 nucleotides long. Lineage: Eukaryota; Metazoa; Chordata; Chondrichthyes; Orectolobiformes; Hemiscylliidae. The record is from RefSeq and is a predicted model, not a curated record.
CGAAGGGCCUGUUUCCACACUGUAAGUAAUCUAAUCUAAUCUAAAGUAAAUGUAAAAUUAUGAAGACAUGAAAACUUGGCUAAGGUGAAUUGGGAACAAAGGCAUGACUGCACAUAGACAAUGGAUAGUUUUAAAAUAACUAUUACAUGAUUUACAGCAAGUAUACAAAGUCUGAGAAAAGAUUGAAAGAAAAUGUCUAAAACAAGAAAUAGCAGUAUUUCUGAAGAUGGAAAGAUUUGUUAGAGAAGCCCAGGAAACUGAUAAGGGGAGGGAGAAUGGAAUGCAAUCUAGUAGCAUAAAAUAUUAAAAAUGAAAUUUAAGAAAUACUGUGUGUGCCUAAAAAGGGAGCAUUCAGCUAAAAUAAUUGUAAGUCCAGUACAAGUAGAAUGAGGAGGAUUUACAUUGGGGCACAGAGAACUGUCAUAAAAGCUAAAUGAUUAGUUGGUAUCUGUUUUCACUGAUGAAGAUACAAAAAAAUCUCCCAGCAGUACAGAUCCAAGUGGAUAGGGAGAAUGAGGAGAUGAAGGAAAUCAGCAUUAAGUGGAUGACUGUGCUGGAGAAAUUAAUGGGUCUGAAAGUUGACAAAUCACGAGGCCAAGAUAAUCUACAUCAAAAAAUGGUAAAGGAGAUGGACUAUAGAGAUGGUAGAUGUAUUGAUGAUUAUGUUCCAAAUUUUUAUAGGUUUUGGAAUGAUCCUGCAGAGGCUCCAAAUGUCACUCCAAUAUUUAAGGAAGAGGUGAGGGAGAAAACAGGGAACUACAGAAUUGUUUGUCUUAUAGCAGUUGUAGAAUAAAUGCUACAAUCUAUUAUAAAUGAUGGAGUAAGUAGAUACUUGGAUCAUUGUGAUCUGGGCAUAGUCAGCCACGAUUGUGAAUGGGAAAUCAUGUUUGAUAAACGUGGCAUUUUUUUGAAGAUUUUACUAACAAAAUUGAUGAAGGAGAGCUGAUGGAUGAAGUAUAUUUGGAUUUUCAAAAGGAUUUUGAUCGAAUUUUGUGAUCUUUUGGAGAUCAAAUUUGCAUUUCCAGAAUGUGUUUAAUCAAAAAUUUGUUUUAUUAUUCAUUACAAUGAUCGACUCUGAAAAAUAAACUGUUUUAGCAUAAAGUAAAAUAUGGAACUUUUAUAGAACUACCAUCUUAUGUCUAUAAUGGAACCCUCACAUCAGGCUGAUAUUAAAAGAUAAAUAAACAAACCAAACAACCAGAUUCUGCAAAUCAAAACCAAAAAAAAUUUGCUGGAUAAACUCAGUAGGUCUGGCAGAGAAAGCAGUGGUAAGGUUUUCGGUUCAGUGACUUUCCUUCAGAUGCUGCCAGACCAGCUGCCUUUUCCGCAAUUUCUGUUUUUGUUUCUGAUGUCAAGAGAUAAUUGAACAUGUAAUCCAGGAGAUUGCCCACCUCUGUCUUUCCAAUCCCGUUUUGCCUCAGGUUUUGUUACACUUUAGCAGCAAGUCGAUGAAGGUAUCAACGGUGGAACGUUUGAAAGGAUCUGGGGGAACAUUAUGCAUUAGUUUCGAACUGAAAUAACUGUAAAAAGAAAACGGAGACAUCAGAGACAUUCUCUUGUCAACACGAAACAUUGUGUUUCUGAGGAAGGGUCACUGGAUCCGAAGCAUUCUCUCCACAGAUGCUGCCAGACCUGCUGAGCUUUUCCAGCAAUCGCUGACUUUGUAACACAUAACAUUGGUUUACUUGCGCAGGUCUGUCAGCAGAUGACGUGCAGAUAUAUGUAUAUAUAAUGCCUCAGUGCAAACAACAAUGAUCAUUCAGUUGGACAAGCAAGAAACCGGAGUCUAACUGGAAUAAUGUGUUGUUUCAUGGACCCGGCGAUGAUUUUGGACAGUCCAUUUGAAAGAAACUUUUCUCUGGAUGCCUGGAGUGUAAAUUCUACCGGAAACGUGAGCGACGUUUUCGAGCUCCCGUUGUACCACAGACAGAUGAGGAUAAUCUCCAUGACGGUCAUUUUCAGCCUGGCUUUGAUUGGGAAUCUGGCGGUGCUGCACAGGAACUGUUGCAGCCAAAGCAGAAGGCGGAAAAUUGACGCCCUGGUCAGUAACCUGGCUGCAGCAGACCUGUGUGUCUCUGUCCUGAUCCUGCUCUCUCAGAUCAUCCAGGAGGCGUUGGAGGAAGAAUGGCUGGCUGGAGAUGUCGCGUGCAAAAUGUUCAAAGUUUUCCAAGCUUUUGGAUUGAUUGCUUCUUCCGGCAUCAUUGUCAUUGUCGCGUUGGAACGGCACCAUGUAAUAGUCAAUCCGCUGGCAUCUCCUCUCCCUACCAGGAUCCUGACUGCAAUCAUUUGGAUCGGUGCUUUUGUGCUGUCAUUACCCCAAGCUUUUGUCUUCAAACUGACAGUCCAGGAAGGCAGGGAGAAAUGUCUGAGCGUGUUUGGGCACCUUCCCAAAUGGCACUUCCAGGUAUAUAUCAUGUUUGGAGCUGUUAUUGUCUUUUUGGCUCCCUUUUGCACGCUGUGUGUAGCGUACACGAGAAUCCUCUGGAUCAUUUGGAGGCAGAAGCAGCAUAUCAGAAAAGGCAAAGCAAGUGAAAAUGUUAACCAAAAGCAACAGAGAAAGGUCCAGAUUCACGGUACCGACUGCUCCAUUCCAAGAGCCAAAGUGAAGACUCUAAAGAUGACUUUGGUCAUGAUCAUAUUCUUUGUAGUCUGCCGAUUACUUUAUUUUAUAAUAGAGAUGAAAGUUGCCUUCGGGACCAUCACUGAGACAGACACCAAGGUGAUUACAGCGCUGGGAAUCUUUGUGGUUUCCAAUAGUGCUGGCAAUCCAUAUGUCUAUCUGUUCUUCAAAACCAACAAUGUCUACUUCAGACGACUGGAGAAGAGCGUGUGUUUCACCUGUCUGAAAGAUUACAGAGAGAAUACAUUUCACAGGGAACUGUGCGCAAUUGGCAAACGGGUAGAGCAAUCCCGCACCACAUUGAAGCGGCCAUCAUCCACUCAAUUCCCUUUGUCAGACUCCUGUUUCUCAACAGGGAAUUCGCAUCCGGAGGGAGUUCUGUCUGAAGAGCGCAUUCCCCAACCGGGAUCACUGUCCAUUGCUGGCAGUGACCAUUGCUAUUCAUUUUCUUAAAAUACAUCAAUUAUUUUUUACAGAACCCUUUACAUUUUCCAGACAAUAUGAAAAUGCUAUCUAGUAAAAGCCUCGAUUAUUAAAAACCUUGUAUUGUUACUUUAAUGAAUCGUUCAUCAUAUAUUGCUUUCUUCAGGACUUUGAGUAAAAUACCGACCGUUUUGUUUUUCCCUAAAAUCGGUAUGAUCAGUUCUUUGGUUGGAUUGAUAUUCGUUCAUCUUUCAAGGCUGGGAACCCUAUCAAAAGGAUCUGGUGUCGUUCAUUUUCCGCAAUAUUAAAGUCUGGGAAUCGCCGCCACAUUUUAAUACUUCUCUUCAUCGGCUCCAGAACUAAAGAGGCAGCUCUGGUUGCUGAGUAGAAUUUAAGACGACUAAGAAUUUUGUACUGCAACAAAAGACCAAGAUUUUGCAGUUUCUCCCAGCAGAGCAGCUUAUCACCAAAUAUCAACAGAAGAUUGGAUAGAGAUUUGCCUACAUUGAGAACAAAGCAAAAUCAAAACAGAAGUGUGUGCCAAUUUAUGGGUACAGAUCGAGUGCCCUCUCAGAUUGUUAAUGAUGGAGAAGAACGUGCGUAAAAGGUACAUAAACAGCUCGAAAUGUCCAAUAUGUUGUGAAACUUGAAAGGGUUCAGAAAAGAUCUACAAGGAUGUUGCCAGGGUUGGAGGAU